GGCAUGCUUAACACAUGCAAGUCGAACGGAAACAGGACGCAGUGAUUCCUUCGGGAUGAUCUUGUCGCUGUCGAGUGGCGGACGGGUGAGUAAUGCAUAGGAAUUUGCCUCAAAGUGGGGGAUAGCCCGGAGAAAUCCGGAUUAAUACCGCAUGUGCUCCACGGAGGAAAGCGGGCCUCUACUUGUAAGCUCGCGCUUUGAGAUAAGCCUAUGUCGGAUUAGCUUGUUGGUAGGGUAACGGCCUACCAAGGCGACGAUCCGUAGCUGGUUUGAGAGGAUGAUCAGCCACACUGGGACUGAGACACGGCCCAGACUCCUAUGGGAGGCAGCAGUGGGGAAUAUUGGACAAUGGGCGCAAGCCUGAUCCAGCAAUGCCGCGUGUGUGAAGAAGGCCUGCGGGUUGUAAAGCACUUUUAUCGGGAAAGAAAAAUUCAAGGUUAAUACCCUUGGAUCUUGACGGUACCCGAGGAAUAAGCACCGGCUAACUCCGUG
This 492-nucleotide ribosomal RNA is filed under the name uncultured bacterium. RNAcentral describes it as "bacterial SSU rRNA". It matches the Rfam family "Bacterial small subunit ribosomal RNA", at positions 41 to 507 of the family's 1533-position model. The record is from RNAcentral.